UACGUAGGUGACGAGCGUUAUCCGGAUUUAUUGGGCGUAAAGCGCACGCAGGCGGCAGAGAAAGUCUGACGUGAAAUCUCCCGGCUUAACUGGGAGCGGUCGUUGGAAACUACUUGGCUUGAGGCGAUGAGAGGGGUGUGGAAUUCCCGGUGUAGUGGUGGAAUGCGUAGAUAUCGGGGGGAACAUCAGUGGCGAAAGCGGCACCCUAGCAUUAGCCUGACGCUCAUGUGCGAAAGCGUGGGGAGCGAACGGG
This 253-nucleotide ribosomal RNA is filed under the name uncultured bacterium. Its description in RNAcentral is "partial 16S ribosomal RNA". It matches the Rfam family "Bacterial small subunit ribosomal RNA", at positions 524 to 776 of the family's 1533-position model. The record is from RNAcentral.